Molecule: small nucleolar RNA, 72 nt
Organism: Jaculus jaculus (lesser Egyptian jerboa)
Lineage: Eukaryota; Metazoa; Chordata; Mammalia; Rodentia; Dipodidae
Source: Ensembl
UGGAUCAAUGAUGACCACUGGUGGCGUAUGAGUUGAGGAUCAUGACUGCUGGUCUGGAAGUCUGAGGUCCAC